Molecule: ribosomal RNA, 119 nt
Filed under: Schistocephalus solidus
Lineage: Eukaryota; Metazoa; Platyhelminthes; Cestoda; Diphyllobothriidea; Diphyllobothriidae
Source: RNAcentral
UUGAGAGACCAUAACACGUAGAAUGUGCCAGUUCUAGUCCAAUCACCGAAGUUAAGCUACGUUGGGCCCGGUUAGUACUUGCAUGGGAAACCGGAUGGGAAUGCCGGGUGUUGCAGACA